This 1924-nucleotide long non-coding RNA is filed under the name Mytilus galloprovincialis (Mediterranean mussel). Lineage: Eukaryota; Metazoa; Mollusca; Bivalvia; Mytilida; Mytilidae. The record is from RNAcentral.
UUAAGAUAGGACAUACAAGAAAUUAAAUGUUUGUUCAUGUAAAACAUUAAAUUCUGAAACCUUUAUCAGAUUUAGACACAAGAAAUUAAAUGUUUGCUCAUGUAAAACAUUAAAAUCUUAAACUUAUCUAUACUAUUAAAUUUAGAGACUAAAAUAUUUUAGCUGCUUUUAAUUUCUCCGAGACGACGAUCAUCUGAAAUAUUAUAUAAUAACAAUUAGUUAGUGUUUGUAAUGUACUUUAUAACUUUAUAUAGUAAUUGCGUUAAUUAACAUAGCUUAAUUAUACACCAAAUAAAUUUCUGUAGCUGGUUCCUUUCCCUCUACGUUUUAUAAGCAGAUUGAAAUGGUUUUGUAAGUAAUUUGUCUUGAAUUUAUGACAAUUCGGCACAUUGUCAACUCACCCUACUCAAACACUCUUACAAAUUGUUAGAACUUGCAUCUUUUUAUCAAGCAUGCACCCCCCCCCCCCCCCAAAAAAAAUAAAUAAAUAAAAAAACAAAAGAAAUAUAUCAAAAUCGGAGAAAUGUGUUUAACCCAAGCUUAAAUGAUUUAUCACCAUAAACAUUUCAAGUGGUCUUCAAGCUGCACUCUUGUGGGCUUACUCUAAUAUCAGUGAGUUGAGAUUCAUGAAGGUCUUUGGUUUGGGGGAGGGGGUUGGUACAGAGGAUAUAAUAAUGGGCCAGAAGAAAAAGGAAUAUUGUAAGUAAAAAAUAAAGAAUAUACAAACGAUUAACCGCUUCCAUGCGAUCAUAUAGUUAAUAUUAUCUAUAAUAUAAUAUCUAUCUGUAUAUCAGGAAUGAUGUGGCUUAUCAUCUUUGGCAUUUGGGGAUGUUAGAAAAAGGAGGAGUUUCAGGGUGUGAUAUUAAAAAAAAAGCUGUGCUAAAACUUCCUUUUCCCCAGAGGUGAAAGUUCUAUGUGUGGAUCAAGGAUUUUGAAAAAAUUAGACCCCUGGCAAGCCAAUGUUUAUCAGGGGAAGCAUUUCCCUAGAAAAAAGGAAACUUUAAGAUUUAUAUCUAUAUAAAUUUGACCUCUAAAUAUAUAUAUAUAUAUCACAAUACUUAAGAUGUUGACAUAAUGACUUUAGCAGCUGUCACAUUAUAGGGUCUGGAUGAGGGGUCCUAUGUUUUUGAAUUUUAGAUUUUUUUGGGUCAUUUUUCUCUAUAAUCCUUAUAUUUGUUGUUUAUUAUUGUUUAUCUUAAUAUUUUAGCAUCCCAUUUUUCUCCAUUCUUUUUUAUACCCAUUUUAAUCUAUUCUGUAAAUCUCAUCCAGACCCUCAUAUUAAGGAGAAAACAGUAUUCUUGAAACAGGGUUAAAUACAUGUAAAGCAAAGAGAUUUGAUGAUAUAAUAAAAAAGUGUAUUUCUUUUACGAAGAUUUUUGCAAUGUUACAAGUAGAUUGACAUGUACUACUGCAUGGUAGACAUAAUUAUCUCCCUUUCCAUAUUUUCUGGUUGACAUUUUUUUUACAUUUUUUUUCAAUUUUGCCUAGAAAAAUAAUAAAACUAUAUUGUAGUGCUCUUUUGAAUCAGCUUGAUUCAGUUGACCUUGACUGUUUAGAUUUACAUUUUUCAUUUAACCAAAAAAGUAUCAACAAAAAUACGGAAUUCCAAAAAUAAAAAAAAGGUGAAUAUAAAUUUUUAUUCCGAAAAUGGUGUAGGCCAAUCUUUUUUUCUUCUUUCUAAAACUGAUCUUUCUUGAAUUUUCAUGAAAUAUUUGCCACUGGACAUAAGGUAAGCAUUAACAAAUCAUUUGUAGAUUUGCUUAAAAAAUUACAUUUCUAUAUGUUUGAUCUUAUUUACAAUUUAUUUAGUUAUAAUAAAGUUUAUGUAAAAAUGAUUUUUUUUUAUUAAUUGAGUGGUUAUAUUUUUGUCCAAGUUUAUCUUAUAUUUUAAAUAUCAUGUAAACUUGAUAUCUUUUGACACCUA